Molecule: ribosomal RNA, 253 nt
Filed under: uncultured bacterium
Lineage: Bacteria
Description: partial 16S ribosomal RNA
Rfam family: Bacterial small subunit ribosomal RNA
Source: RNAcentral
UACGAGUGCCCCAAGCGUUAUCCGGCAUUAUUGGGCGUAAAGGGUGUGUAGGUGGUUAUGUUAGUCUCUCGUUAAAUUCUUCGGCUCAACCGGGGUAUCGCGGGGGAAACGGCAUGACUAGAGGAUGCGAGAGGUGUGCGGAACUCAUGGUGUAGGGGUGAAAUCCGUUGAUAUCAUGGGGAACACCAAAAGCGAAGGCAGCACACUGGUGCAUUCCUGACACUGAAACACGAAAGCGUGGGUAGCGAAUGGG